GUCACCAAGCAAUGCGAUUUGGGGGGUCGGCGCAACGCGGCACUCACCGAGCUGUAGGAACUAACCAAGGCAAAGUUCAGUAUGUAGAUAUGGGAUGCAAGAGAAUCAGACCAAUGGAAAAUCAUCGCAUGCGAGUGGGUGCUCUUGCAUGGAGCUCUUCAUUGCUUUCUUCUGGCAGUCGCGACAAGAAACAUUCUUCACCAUAAUAUCCGUGCUCCGUACGCCUACGUUAGCAAACUUACUGGGCAUAAAUCAGAGGUCUGUGGACUCAAGUGGUCUUAUGAUAACCGUCAGCUUGCAUCUGGUGGUAGCGACAGCGGAGUAAGAUUCAUGUCCACAAGUUUCCAUCGUAAUAAGUGCAUGCCACAUGGAGUUCAUGAUCUUUUUUCUUCUUCUGCUCGUACUAUUUGUUUUCCUUCUCUAGCUUUUUGUAUGGAAUCAACAUUCAGACAUUCAGUACAGCCAGUACUGAGGUAUACGGAGCACACACCAGCUGUGAAACCUAUUGCCCGGUCACCUCAUCUCCAUGGGCUUCUUGCUUGCAUCUGGUGGAGGAACUGCAGAUAGAUGCAUACAUGUUCGGAAUACGACCACAAAUACACACUUGAGUUGCAUGGACACAUGAGGUCAGGUAAUUUGCUACUUAUCAGUCUUCAACAGUUGCAUGCAGCCCUUGUUUAUGUUUGUGAACUUAAAUUGAUUUUCAAUAUAUGUACUACCAUAUUUAAGUAUCACGAUAUCUACUAUUAAGCUUAAUAUCUAUCUAAAGCUUUGUGCACCGUUACUGAUAGAAGAGUGUAGCAUCAAUUUCCCCUGCUAACAUCAGAAAAGAUCUUAUCUGGCUGAGCUUUACUUACAAAAACGGAAGUAUUAAUUUAACACACACAAACGACCCUACAAGUACUCCACUAUCAUCCCCAUAUUAUUUUUGAAAAAAAAUAUAUAACAUGCUGCCCUUGGAGUUUUGAACGAAGCUUUUUGGGUAUUUUAAUUGCAAGUUUUCUCUAGCCAUGGAGAGCUUAUUUUGUUUCAAUUGUUCAUGUUUGUG
Brachypodium distachyon (stiff brome) is the source of this 1048-nucleotide RNA transcript. It is a transcript of the gene named protein FIZZY-RELATED 2-like, with no coding region annotated. NCBI's taxonomy places the organism in Eukaryota, Viridiplantae, Streptophyta, Magnoliopsida, Poales, Poaceae. The record is from RefSeq and is a predicted model, not a curated record. The transcript has 3 exons.